GGGGAAUAUUGCACAAUGGGGGAAACCCUGAUGCAGCAACGCCGCGUGAGUGAAGAAGGUCUUCGGAUCGUAAAGCUCUGUUGUACGGGACGAUAAUGACGGUACCGUACAAGGAAGCCACGGCUAACUACGUGCCAGCAGCCGCGGUAAUACGUUUAGGUGGCAAGCGUUGUCCGGAAUUACUGGGUGUAAAGGAUGCGUAGGCGGAUAUGUAAGUCAGAUGUGAAACCCCCGGGCUUAACCCGGGGCAUGCAUUUGAGACUGCAUAUCUAGAGUGCAGGAGAGGAAAGCGGAAUUCCUAGUGUAGCGGUGAAAUGCGUAGAUAUUAGGAAGAACACCAGUGGCGAAGGCGGCUUUCUGGACUGUAACUGACGCUGAUGCAUGAAAGCGUGGGGAGCAAACA
RNAcentral lists this ribosomal RNA (403 nucleotides) under uncultured Eubacteriales bacterium. RNAcentral's name for it is "bacterial SSU rRNA". It matches the Rfam family "Bacterial small subunit ribosomal RNA", at positions 356 to 774 of the family's 1533-position model. The record is from RNAcentral. Lineage: Bacteria; Bacillati; Bacillota; Clostridia; Eubacteriales.